Non-coding RNA from Schistosoma mansoni, 46 nucleotides. Lineage: Eukaryota; Metazoa; Platyhelminthes; Trematoda; Strigeidida; Schistosomatidae. The record is from Rfam.
UUACUGCUGAGGAGUCCCAUAAUAGGACGAAACGGCCGUCCAGUGC